Molecule: ribosomal RNA, 461 nt
Filed under: uncultured Sphingobacterium sp.
Lineage: Bacteria; Pseudomonadati; Bacteroidota; Sphingobacteriia; Sphingobacteriales; Sphingobacteriaceae
Description: bacterial SSU rRNA
Rfam family: Bacterial small subunit ribosomal RNA
Source: RNAcentral
UCCUACGGGAGGCAGCAGUAAGGAAUAUUGGUCAAUGGACGCAAGUCUGAACCAGCCAUGCCGCGUGAAGGAUGAAGGCCCUCUGGGUUGUAAACUUCUUUUAUAUGGGAAGAAAUGUGUCGGUUCUCCGACACUUGACGGUACUAUAGGAAUAAGCACCGGCUAACUCCGUGCCAGCAGCCGCGGUAAUACGGAGGGUGCAAGCGUUAUCCGGAUUCACUGGGUUUAAAGGGUGCGUAGGUGGGCAGAUAAGUCAGUGGUGAAAUCUUUCGAGCUUAACUGGAAAACUGCCGUUGAUACUAUUUGUCUUGAAUAUUGCGGAGGUAAGCGGAAUAUGUCAUGUAGCGGUGAAAUGCUUAGAUAUGACAUAGAACACCAAUUGCGAAGGCAGCUUACUACACAAUUAUUGACACUGAGGCACGAAAGCGUGGGUAGCGAACAGGAUUAGAUACCCUGGUAGA